UACGAAGGGGGCUAGCGUUGUUCGGAUUUACUGGGCGUAAAGCCCACGUAGGCGGAUUGUUAAGUUAGAGGUGAAAUCCCGGAGCUCAACUCCGGAACUGCCUUUAAUACUGGCAAUCUCGAGUCCGGAAGAGGUAAGUGGAACUCCUAGUGUAGAGGUGGAAUUCGUAGAUAUUAGGAAGAACACCAGUGGCGAAGGCGGCUUACUGGUCCGGUACUGACACUGAGGUGCGAAAGCGUGGGGAGCAAACAGG
This 253-nucleotide ribosomal RNA is filed under the name uncultured bacterium. RNAcentral's name for it is "partial 16S ribosomal RNA". It matches the Rfam family "Bacterial small subunit ribosomal RNA", at positions 524 to 776 of the family's 1533-position model. The record is from RNAcentral.